RNAcentral lists this ribosomal RNA (480 nucleotides) under uncultured bacterium. Its description in RNAcentral is "partial 16S ribosomal RNA". It matches the Rfam family "Bacterial small subunit ribosomal RNA", at positions 28 to 507 of the family's 1533-position model. The record is from RNAcentral.
GACGAACGCUGGCGGCGUGCUUAACACAUGCAAGUCGAACGAUGAAGAAAAGAUUUGAAGCUUCGGCCGAAAUUCAUUUCGGGUUAGUGGCAGACGGGUGAGUAACGCGUGAGCAACCUACCUCUUACAAAGGGAUAGCCUCGGGAAACCGGGAUUAAUACCAUAUAACAUUGCGACGAAGCAUUUCGAUGCAAUCAAAGCUACGGCGGUAAGAGAUGGGCUCGCGUCCCAUUAACCAGAUGGUGAGGUAACGGCUCACCAUAGUAACGAUGGGUAACCGGGCGGAGAGGGUGAACGGUCAGACUGGAAAUGAGACACGGUCCAGACUCCUACGGGAGGGAGCAGUAGAGAAUAUUGCACAAGGGAGGGAAAUCUGAUGCAGCGACGCCGCGUGAGAGAUGAAGGAAGUCGUUACGUAAAACUCUGUUCUAUGGGAAGAAAAGGACUGUACCAGAGGAGAAAGCACCGGCUAAAUACGUG